UAAGUACAUGAUUACAUAUGAUUGUGCUUCUUUGAUAUUUCAGACGAAUCAAUUCUUCAUUCUGGUCCUGAUUGGCUACUCAUAAUCAUAGUGGUCGUUUGCUCUCUGGUUACGGUUGCGUUAAUAUUGGCUUUCAUUCUCUGCUUAAGAAAAUGGAAGCAGUCAAUACGUGACAUCGACAAGGGUACACAGUCUAUAGCCAGUAACCCAAGGCAAAAUCAAUGGGCCGAAGAGUGUCCGUAUGGAGAAC
This is a long non-coding RNA of Actinia tenebrosa (Australian red waratah sea anemone), 250 nucleotides long. The record is from RefSeq and is a predicted model, not a curated record. NCBI's taxonomy places the organism in Eukaryota, Metazoa, Cnidaria, Anthozoa, Actiniaria, Actiniidae.